GGCCAACCUACCCUAGGGAGGUAGAUAACCCCUGGGAAACUGGGGUUAAACUACCAUAGGAGGCGGGAUCUGGAAAGACCCGCCUCUGAAAGUGGUGUACGGGGAUGCCUGUACACCAGCCCUAGGAUGGGGCUGCGGCCCAUCAUGGUUGUUGGUGGGGUAACGGCCCACCAAGCCUAUAACGGGUACGGGCCCUGAGAGGGGGAGCCCGGAGAUGGACUCUGAGACAAGAGUCCAGGCCCUACGGGGCGCAGCAGGCGCGAAAACUCCCCAAUGCCCGAAAGGGUGAGGGGGUCACCCCGAGUGCCACCCUCGCGGUGGCUUUUGCGGGGUCUAAAAAGCCCCGCGAAUAAGGGGAGGGCAAGACGGGUGUCAGCCGCCGCGGUAAUACCCGCUCCCCGAGUGGUGGGGACUAUUACUGGGCUUAAAGCACCCGUAGCCGGCCGGAUGUGUCUCCCGUUAAAUCCACGGGCCUAACCCGUGGGCUGCGGGAGAUACUAUCCGGCUUGGGGGUGGGAGAGGGCGGCGGUAUUCCCGGGGUAGGGGUAAAAUCCACUGAUCCCGGGAGGACCACCGGUGGCGAAGGCGGCCGCCCAGAACACGCCCGACGGUGAGGGGUGAAAGCUGGGGGAGCAAACGGGAUUAGAUACUCUCGGUAGUCCCAGCUGUAAACGAUGCGGGCUAGGUGUCGGGUGGGCUACGGGCUCACCCGGUGCCGAAGGGAAACCAUUA
RNAcentral lists this ribosomal RNA (732 nucleotides) under uncultured archaeon. Its description in RNAcentral is "bacterial SSU rRNA". It matches the Rfam family "Archaeal small subunit ribosomal RNA", at positions 102 to 817 of the family's 1478-position model. The record is from RNAcentral.